This 687-nucleotide long non-coding RNA is filed under the name Helianthus annuus (common sunflower). Lineage: Eukaryota; Viridiplantae; Streptophyta; Magnoliopsida; Asterales; Asteraceae. The record is from RNAcentral.
AUGCUUUGGGUCCAUGUUUUGUUACUUUGUUUAAUCUUGUUAGAAGUCUUACACUUGAAAACUUGUUGUUUUAUUUGGUUUCAAGGAUUCUCAAGAUUAAGAAGAAAUUGAGAGCCCAAAUCAAUGAUAGAACCCGAAUUGUCAACCAUCUAAGCUCGAACAUCAAUAGGUAAGUCGAAAAUCCUGUUUUAGUGAGUGAUGAGAAAUGGGUUUUUGACCCAAUGUGAAAUUAGGUGCAAUUCUUGUGCAAAUGUAAGUUAGGAACUCAUAAUAGACUGGGAAUUAUGCUUGAUUUCGAUUAUUGAAAGGGUUAGGGUUUAUACCCGUAUGUUGUAGGACUUGCAUGAACAAGAUGAUUUUUAUAAUAUGCUUACAAUUGCGAGUUGUUGCAUGAUCUUGUAUGUGAUAAAGAAAUUAGACAAAUUAUCAUAAGAUGAAGGAAAGAUAGGAAUUCAACCAAUUCUUGUUAAACUAGAAAGUUAAUCAAGUAAAAUCCAUGCUAUGAACACUUGUACAUUAUGAUUGUAAAUACAAUGCCCACCAAGUGUUUGAUAAAAUGCUUAAGAGAUGAUUAUAUAUGUGGUAUGAGAAGAAAAUGAUGGAAUGACUUGAUUUAACUAAGUAAACGAAUGUUGUAAUGUAGGCGUGAAGGAAGAAAGCUCGAACACUAGUAAAGCGGGAGGUGUA